This 538-nucleotide ribosomal RNA is filed under the name uncultured bacterium. RNAcentral describes it as "bacterial SSU rRNA". It matches the Rfam family "Bacterial small subunit ribosomal RNA", at positions 570 to 1110 of the family's 1533-position model. The record is from RNAcentral.
CGUACGCGGAUAUAUAAGUUAGAUGUGAAAUACCCGAGCUUAACUUGGGUCCUGCAUUUAAGACUGUAUGUCUAGAGUCUGUCAGAGGGGGGUAGAAUUCCAAGUGUAGCAGUGAAAUGCGUAGAGAUUUGGAGGAAUACCGAUGGCGUAGGCAGCCCCCUGGGAUAGAACUGACGCUGAGGCACGAAAGCGUGGGUAGCAAACAGGAUUAGAUACCCUGGUAGUCCACGCCCUAAACGAUGUCUACUUGCUGUUGGGGGUAAAACCUAAGUAGCGAAGCAAACGCGAGAAGUAGACCGCCUGGGGAGUACGGUCGCAAGAUUAAAACUCAAAGGAAUUGACGGGGACCCGCACAAGCGGUGGAUGAUGUGGAUUAAUUCGAUGCAACGCGAAAAACCUUACCUGCUCUUGACAUGCUAGGAAUUUAGUAGAGGUACUGAAGUGCCUUCGGGAACCUAGACACAGGUGCUGCAUGGCUGUCGUCAGCUCGUGUCGUGAGAUGUUGUCUUAAGUGACGCAACGAGCGCAACCCUUACUA